AUAUCUCUCCGUACGGGAAGGAUGAGAAGCUUCGACUAAGGUUCGAUUCGAGCGAAAGCGAGAAAGCGUUGCCAACGGCAACGACCCGAAGG
RNAcentral lists this small RNA (92 nucleotides) under Salmonella enterica. Its description in RNAcentral is "partial RtT sRNA". It matches the Rfam family "RtT RNA", at positions 1 to 90 of the family's 130-position model. From Rfam's summary of the family: This family represents a bacterial cis-regulatory element known as RtT RNA. Lineage: Bacteria; Pseudomonadati; Pseudomonadota; Gammaproteobacteria; Enterobacterales; Enterobacteriaceae. The record is from RNAcentral.